This is a long non-coding RNA of Lethenteron reissneri (Far Eastern brook lamprey), 677 nucleotides long. RefSeq lists it as uncharacterized. Lineage: Eukaryota; Metazoa; Chordata; Hyperoartia; Petromyzontiformes; Petromyzontidae. The record is from RefSeq and is a predicted model, not a curated record.
ACGACGUUUCGAUCGCAACACAAGCGGUCUUCAUCACGUGUUGCGAUCGAAACGUCGCGGGUUUUUUGCUUUUAUUUUAAUUUAUUUUUAUUUCAUUGUUAUUUUCUAUCUACGUGACUUUACCUGAAAGAACCAAGAAUAUAGUUACGACUGUACUCUGGUCGCCACGGGUGAAGAGGCCGAGUGGGCUCGGUUCAACUGUUGCCAGGUGAUGGGGUCGUCCAUGUUGGGUGUCAUUGCGGCCAAAGACAAGCAGCAGUACGAAGACCAGGACGCCCUGGUCUACCAUGAGGACGAAAUUGGCCUCGCCCGGUCACAAAAUUCCAGGCUACAACCCUCCGGAGUCCACCCCAUGGGGCUCGCCUUCUCCCCGGCCUAAAAAACCCAGACAGUACUAGUGCAUCAUGCAUGCGGUGUCCACAAGAGGAACCGAAUGGAUUUUCUAAAGAGGAUACCAGAACGUGGAGCGAAACGUCGGAUGCCAAACAGCACGCUGCAGCACAACCCGAAAGAGCACAUCGGCGAGCCACGCAGCAGCAUCACAAUCGCUAAAUCCCACUUGGUCCUGGCUCAAAAACCUGCACUCCCAAGCCUCAGUUGUACAUGAUGACCCACAGUGAUCCCUGGGUGUUUUACCACGUCGACCUUCCCCACGGUUUAAGGUAUCCAUCAUCAAC